UGAACGCUGGCGGCAGGCCUAACACAUGCAAGUCGAACGGUAACAGGAAGAAGCUUGCUUCUUUGCUGACGAGUGGCGGACGGGUGAGUAAUGUCUGGGAAACUGCCUGAUGGGGGGGGAUAACUACUGGAAACGGUAGCUAAUACCGCAUAACGUCGCAAGACCAAAGAGGGGGACCUUCGGGCCUCUUGCCAUCGGAUGUGCCCAGAUGGGAUUAGCUAGUAGGUGGGGUAACGGCUCACCUAGGCGACGAUCCCUAGCUGGUCUGAGAGGAUGACCAGCCACACUGGAACUGAGACACGGUCCAGACUCCUACGGGAGGCAGCAGUGGGGAAUAUUGCACAAUGGGCGCAAGCCUGAUGCAGCCAUGCCGCGUGUAUGAAGAAGGCCUUCGGGUUGUAAAGUACUUUCAGCGGGGAGGAAGGGAGUAAAGUUAA
Molecule: ribosomal RNA, 437 nt
Filed under: uncultured Escherichia sp.
Lineage: Bacteria; Pseudomonadati; Pseudomonadota; Gammaproteobacteria; Enterobacterales; Enterobacteriaceae
Description: bacterial SSU rRNA
Rfam family: Bacterial small subunit ribosomal RNA
Source: RNAcentral